RNAcentral lists this unclassified non-coding RNA (265 nucleotides) under Hevea brasiliensis (rubber tree). The record is from RNAcentral. Lineage: Eukaryota; Viridiplantae; Streptophyta; Magnoliopsida; Malpighiales; Euphorbiaceae.
GAGAACAACAGCUGCAUUACCAAAAAUGAAGUCAACCGUCCCAUAGACAUCGCAAUCGCGAUAGAAUUGUCGAAGUGAGUGGACGUAGAGGGUGUCUUGAUAGGCAAUAAAGCUACAUUGGUAGAACGCCGAUAGGUCGGAGCCGCUCCGCAGCGCCACCGCUUGGUGCUUGCUUGGUCCGGCAUAGUUCUCAAACGUAAUGCCUCUAGCUAAGAAUCCAUUUCCCACCACAGCAACGGUAGCUGAUCGGAAAGUAGUCCAUCCA